AGAAUCAACGCUGGCGGCGUGCCUAACACAUGCAAGUCGAACGAGAAAGUGGUAGCAAUACCAUGAGUAAAGUGGCGCACGGGUGAGUAACACGUGACUAACCUACCCUUGAGUGGGGGAUAAACUGAGGGAAACCUUAGCUAAUACCGCAUAAUACCCACGGGUCAAAGGAGCAAUUCGCUCGAGGAGGGGGUCGCGGCCGAUUAGUUAGUUGGCGGGGUAAUGGCCCACCAAGACGAUGAUCGGUAUCCGGCCUGAGAGGGCGCACGGACACACUGGAACUGAAACACGGUCCAGACUCCUACGGGAGGCAGCAGUGGGGAAUUUUGCGCAAUGGGGGAAACCCUGACGCAGCAACGCCGCGUGGAGGAUGAAGUCCUUCGGGACGUAAACUCCUUUCGAUCGGGACGAUUAUGACGGUACCGGAAGAAGAAGCCCCGGCUAACUUCGUGCCAGCAGCCGC
RNAcentral lists this ribosomal RNA (463 nucleotides) under uncultured bacterium. RNAcentral describes it as "SSU rRNA". It matches the Rfam family "Bacterial small subunit ribosomal RNA", at positions 26 to 518 of the family's 1533-position model. The record is from RNAcentral.